UCCAACUCUAUAACGACAAUAUUUACUCUCUUUAGUUCUCUGGAAGUGACCUGGAUUUCAAUAACUGUAAUAAGUCAAGAACCAGCCUCCCUUUCUCUCAUCCAGCGUGUCUCUAUCCUAUAAAAGCAGAACUAUCCCUCCACUCUGUACUACAACACCUGUUCACUAUUACCUUCAAGAGCUCCACUGUACCAAGGAAGAACACAGACACAGCGGCAAUGGAUAGAUGUAAACCACACUGUGAGGACAAAAACAAAGGUAGUUCCAUUGGCAACAUAUCAGGAGGUGGAGGCAACAAGGGCAUUGGCAAUGUAUCAGGAGGUGGAGGAAGUAACAUUGGCAACAUAGAUGGGGGUGGAGGCAACACCGGCAUUGGCAACGUUGGAAAAUAAUCUGGAUGCCAUUAGGGCCACUUCACCAAAAGCCUGUCAACAUCCCUGUUCACACUGGGGUGAAGAUUAUGAAAACUAGAUGCAUAUUAAUGGAAUUAGGCUGUUCUUAGUGCUAUCAGAUUCACUCUAGGAGUAUAGUUUUAAUCAACAAUGUAACCACUCUUGCUUUUGGCAAAUAAAUAAAUGUUAACACAUUGA
Esox lucius (northern pike) is the source of this 590-nucleotide long non-coding RNA. The record is from Ensembl. NCBI's taxonomy places the organism in Eukaryota, Metazoa, Chordata, Actinopteri, Esociformes, Esocidae.